CCUGGCGCCGUCAGCCACAACUCGCCGAAUGACAACGCCUGCGGCGCAUCGGGUAGGCCUUCCCGCCAAGUGUCUGUAUGCAGAUAGUGGCCUACCCUUAGCGCCUGAGUUGCAACACACCCAGCUACACCCUGCAACGAGACUACUACGGGUUCGGGUUGUUUGCUGCGUUAGUUCGUUCGUUUCGUUAUCGUUAGGCUUGUGUGGUUGUUUCUGACUUCGCGGAGGAAGACGGUCUAUUAGUUGCAUCUGCGCUUGACAUCAGCUAAGCAGCCGUCAGCUGUCAUGCUGAGUCGGAGUCACAGCACACAGCAUGAGAAAUGGACCCUUUUUCUCAUGAUCACAGGAAUAAAUCUGGAAUUUAGAUUCGUCCAAAGUCACCAGCAGAAAGGAGCCAGCUUAUUGAGGAAAAUGUACUCUUGUAACGUGAAUGAUUUGAAACAAUAAAGAAUUAAAAUACGAUCCAAAA
Frankliniella occidentalis (western flower thrips) is the source of this 469-nucleotide long non-coding RNA. RefSeq lists it as uncharacterized. The transcript is spliced from 3 exons. The record is from RefSeq and is a predicted model, not a curated record. NCBI's taxonomy places the organism in Eukaryota, Metazoa, Arthropoda, Insecta, Thysanoptera, Thripidae.